AGUGAACGCUGGCGGCAGGCCUAAUACAUGCAAGUCGAACGGCAACACAGUGGAGCUUGCUCCAUGGGUGGCGAGUGGCGGACGGGUGAGGAAUACAUGGGAAUCUGCCCAGUCGUGGGGGAUAACGUAGGGAAACUUACGCUAAUACCGCAUGCGCCCUUCGGGGGAAAGCCGGGGACCUUCGGGCCUGGCGCGAUUGGAUGAGCCCAUGUUCGAUUAGCUAGUUGGCGGGGUAAAGGCCCACCAAGGCGACGAUCGAUAGCUGGUCUGAGAGGAUGAUCAGCCACACUGGGACUGAGACACGGCCCAGACUCCUACGGGAGGUAGCAGUAGGGAAUAUUGGACAAUGGGCGCAAGCCUGAUCCAGCCAUGCCGCGUGAGUGAAGAAGGCCCUCGGGUUGUAAAGCUCUUUUGUCCGGGAAGAAAAGCAUCGGGCUAAUACCUCGGUGUUCUGACGGUACCGGAAGAAUAAGCACCGGCUAACUUCGUG
This 490-nucleotide ribosomal RNA is filed under the name uncultured bacterium. RNAcentral describes it as "partial 16S ribosomal RNA". It matches the Rfam family "Bacterial small subunit ribosomal RNA", at positions 29 to 507 of the family's 1533-position model. The record is from RNAcentral.